This 759-nucleotide ribosomal RNA is filed under the name uncultured bacterium. Its description in RNAcentral is "bacterial SSU rRNA". It matches the Rfam family "Bacterial small subunit ribosomal RNA", at positions 8 to 756 of the family's 1533-position model. The record is from RNAcentral.
AGAGUUUGAUCAUGGCUCAGAGUGAACGCUGGCGGUAGGCCUAACACAUGCAAGUCGAACGGCAGCACAGGAGAGCUUGCUCUCUGGGUGGCGAGUGGCGGACGGGUGAGGAAUACAUCGGAAUCUACUCUGUCGUGGGGGAUAACGUAGGGAAACUUACGCUAAUACCGCAUACGACCUACGGGUGAAAGCAGGGGAUCUUCGGACCUUGCGCGAUUGAAUGAGCCGAUGUCGGAUUAGCUAGUUGGCGGGGUAAAGGCCCACCAAGGCGACGAUCCGUAGCUGGUCUGAGAGGAUGAUCAGCCACACUGGAACUGAGACACGGUCCAGACUCCUACGGGAGGCAGCAGUGGGGAAUAUUGGACAAUGGGCGCAAGCCUGAUCCAGUCAUACCGCGUGGGUGAAGAAGGCCUUCGGGUUGUAAAGCCCUUUUGUUGGGAAAGAAAUCCAGCUGGUUAAUACCCGGUUGGGAUGACGGUACCCAAAGAAUAAGCACCGGCUAACUUCGUGCCAGCAGCCGCGGUAAUACGAAGGGUGCAAGCGUUACUCGGAAUUACUGGGCGUAAAGCGUGCGUAGGUGGUCGUUUAAGUCCGUUGUGAAAGCCCUGGGCUCAACCUGGGAACUGCAGUGGAUACUGGGCGACUAGAGUGUGGUAGAGGGUAGCGGAAUUCCUGGUGUAGCAGUGAAAUGCGUAGAGAUCAGGAGGAACAUCCAUGGCGAAGGCAGCUACCUGGACCAACACUGACACUGAGGCACGA